CCUACGGGAGGCAGCAGUGAGGAAUAUUGGUCAAUGGGCGGAAGCCUGAACCAGCCAAGCCGCGUGAGGGAAGAAGGUACAGCGUAUCGUAAACCUCUUUUGUCAGGGAACAAAGGCGGGGACUAGUCCCCGGCUGAGGGUACCUUAAGAAAAAGCAUCGGCUAACUCCGUGCCAGCAGCCGCGGUAAUACGGAGGAUGCGAGCGUUAUCCGGUUUUAUUGGGUUUAAGGGGUGCGCAGGCGGCCUGUUAAGUCAGCGGUAAAAGCCCGGGGCUCAACCCCGGCGAGCCGUUGAAACUGGCGGGCUGGAGUGGGAGAGAGGUAGGCGGAAUGCGCGGUGUAGCGGUGAAAUGCUUAGAUAUCGCGCAGAACCCCGAUUGCGAAGGCAGCGUACCGGCUCCAAACUGACGCUGAGGCACGAAAGCGUGGGUAUCGAACAGGAUUAGAUACCCGGGUAGUC
This 459-nucleotide ribosomal RNA is filed under the name uncultured bacterium. Its description in RNAcentral is "partial 16S ribosomal RNA". It matches the Rfam family "Bacterial small subunit ribosomal RNA", at positions 338 to 795 of the family's 1533-position model. The record is from RNAcentral.